UAAGCAUAUCAAUAAGCGGAGGAAAAGAAACCAACAGGGAUUGCCCCAGUAACGGCGAGUGAAGCGGCAACAGCUCAAAUUUGAAAUCUGGCUUCGGCCCGAGUUGUAAUUUGCAGAGGAAGCUUUAGGCGCGGCACCAUCUGAGUCCCCUGGAACGGGGCGCCAUAGAGGGUGAGAGCCCCGUAUAGAUGGACGCUAAGCCUGUGUAAAGCUCCUUCGACGAGUCGAGUAGUUUGGGAAUGCUGCUCAAAAUGGGAGGUAAAUUUCUUCUAAAGCUAAAUAUUGGCCAGAGACCGAUAGCGCACAAGUAGAGUGAUCGAAAGAUGAAAAGCACUUUGAAAAGAGGGUUAAAUAGCACGUGAAAUUGUUGAAAGGGAAGCGCUUGUGACCAGACUUGCGCCUGGCUGAUCAUCCGGUGUUCUCACCGGUGCACUCUGCCAGGCUCAGGCCAGCAUCGGUUCUCGCGGGGGGAUAAAGGCCCUGGGAACGUAGCUCCUCCGGGAGUGUUAUAGCCCAGGGUGCAAUGCCCUCGCGGGGACCGAGGUUCGCGCAUCUGCAAGGAUGCUGGCGUAAUGGUCAUCAGCGACCCGUCUUGAAACACGGACCAAGGAGUCAAGGUUUUGCGCGAGUGUUUGGGUGUCAAACCCGCACGCGUAAUGAAAGUGAACGUAGGUGAGAGCUUCGGCGCAUCAUCGACCGAUCCUGAUGUUUUCGGAUGGAUUUGAGUAGGAGCGUUAAGCCUUGGACCCGAAAGAUGGUGAACUAUGCUUGGAUAGGGUGAAGCCAGAGGAAACUCUGGUGGAGGCUCGCAGCGGUUCUGACGUGCAAAUCGAUCGUCAAAUCUGAGCAUGGGGGCGAAAGACUAAUCGAACCAUCUAGUAGCUGGUUACCGCCGAA
Molecule: ribosomal RNA, 897 nt
Filed under: Subramaniula cuniculorum
Lineage: Eukaryota; Fungi; Ascomycota; Sordariomycetes; Sordariales; Chaetomiaceae
Description: LSU rRNA
Rfam family: Eukaryotic large subunit ribosomal RNA
Source: RNAcentral